UACGUUCCCGGACCUUGUACACACCGCCCCGUCAAGCGAUGGAAGUUGGGAGGACCUGAAGACAGUUGUUGUGGGACGCUGUUUAGGGUAAAACCGAUNACUGGCNCU
This 108-nucleotide ribosomal RNA is filed under the name uncultured bacterium. RNAcentral's name for it is "partial 16S ribosomal RNA". The record is from RNAcentral.